GGGGUUUUUGCUUUGCCCGGAAAAAAUGUUUGCUUUGCCCGGAAAAAAUGUCGGUGAUGGCGGGACGGCAUCCGUACGGUGUCCGGUCGGGUUUGCGGAGGAACGGCUUGAAACUUUGGGAUAUUCAUUUUAGAAUGACUCGUUUUAUCGUCGCAAGAUGCGGUUUAUUGUUUGCAACCCUUAAAGGAAAAACCAUGAAGAAAAUGUUCGUGCUGUUCUGUAUGCUGUUCUCCUGCGCCUUCUCCCUUGCGGC
Molecule: ribosomal RNA, 253 nt
Filed under: Neisseria meningitidis NM422
Lineage: Bacteria; Pseudomonadati; Pseudomonadota; Betaproteobacteria; Neisseriales; Neisseriaceae
Description: partial 16S ribosomal RNA
Source: RNAcentral